AAGAUGUCGGCUGCGGUGCCAGAGCUGAAGCAGAUCAGCCGGGUGGAGGCGAUGCGCUUGGGGCCGGGCUGGAGCCACUCGUGCCAUGCCAUGCUGUACGCCGCCAACCCCGGGCAGCUUUUCGGCUGCAUCCCCAUGCGCUUCUCGGUGCUGAUGCAGAUGCUCUUAGACGGGCUGCUGGGCUUCCCCGAGGGCUUCUGGUCAUUGGAGGAUGGACUGAACCGGGUGCUGGGCCUGGGCCUGGGCUGCCUGUGCCUCACCGAGGCCGACUACCUGAGCUCGCACCUGACCGAGGGCCCGCACCGUGUCAUGGCGCACCUGUACGCGCUGCAGCUGACGCUGGAGCAGCUGCACGCCAUGGAGAUCAGCGUGGUUCAUUCGCGCGACCACAGCCUGGAGGUGCUGGGACUGGUGCGGGUCCCGCUGUACACCCAGAAGGACCGAGUUGGUGGCUUUCUCAACUUCCUGAGCAAUGCCUUCAUCAGCACGGCUAAGUACCAGCUCCUCUUCGCCCUCAAGGUGCUCAACAUGAUGCCCGAGGAAAAGCUGGCUGAAGCUGUGGCUGCAGCCACUGAGAAGCAGAAAAAUGCAUUUGACACUGUCCUGCACCAGAGAUUGGGAAGUGUAACAGAACUACAUAAUAUAUAG
This is an RNA transcript of Myotis brandtii (Brandt's bat), 648 nucleotides long. It is a transcript of the gene named protein syndesmos pseudogene, with no coding region annotated. NCBI's taxonomy places the organism in Eukaryota, Metazoa, Chordata, Mammalia, Chiroptera, Vespertilionidae. The transcript has 2 exons. The record is from RefSeq and is a predicted model, not a curated record.